Molecule: unclassified non-coding RNA, 211 nt
Filed under: plant metagenome
Description: partial contains small subunit ribosomal RNA, internal transcribed spacer 1, and 5.8S ribosomal RNA
Source: RNAcentral
UUUCCGUAGGUGAACCUGCGGAAGGAUCAUUCAUAAUAAAGUGUUUUAUGGCACUUUUUAAAAAUCCAUAUCCACCUUGUGUGCAAUGUUAAAUCUCGUCAAUCUUGGCGAGAUUUUUAUACAUCAACUCAUUUUUUAACUAAUUUGUCUGAAAAAUAUUAUGAAUACUUAAUUCAAAAUACAACUUUCAACAACGGAUCUCUUGGCUCUC